CCCUUUCCGUAGGUGAACCUGCGGAAGGAUCAUUAAUGAUUUUUAAAGCGAGUCGAGCGUUAAGCGAGGCUUGCGAAAAUAUUUAAAACCCCACUCUUUUUAACUUUAAAAAAAUAAAUCAUGAUACAUGAAUUUGAAAAAAAGAUCACUUUCAACAACGGAUCUCUUGGCUCUCGCAUCGAUGAAGAACGCAGCGAAAUGCGAUAAGUAGUGUGAAUUGCAUAAUUUUGUGAAUCAUCGAAUCUUUGAACGCAAAUUGCACUCCCUGGUAUUCCGGGGAGUAUGCCUGUUUGAGGGUCGUUGGAAUAAAAAAUCGAGGCGUCGCUCUUUUUUUAAAGGGUGAUCGCGUCGGAAUUGAGCCGUCUUUCAAAUGUUAAUUCAUGUCAAAGUGGCUUGAAAUUCAUCCAUCCGGUACGAUUAAAGCGUAUUUAAGAUCAAUUUUGUUCAAGAACGCGCGAUGACGUACCAUCUCAUGUAGUACGUUUGACUUGGCGUCGUCAGGUUCAUUCGUAUACGAUACUCAAACUUUUGACCUCAAGUCAGGUAGAAAUCCCGCUGAACUUAAGCUAUCAAUAGCGGAGAA
This 583-nucleotide ribosomal RNA is filed under the name Funneliformis mosseae. RNAcentral describes it as "eukaryotic LSU rRNA". The stretch from base 147 to 300 matches the Rfam family "5.8S ribosomal RNA". The record is from RNAcentral. Lineage: Eukaryota; Fungi; Glomeromycota; Glomeromycetes; Glomerales; Glomeraceae.